UUUUUUUUUUUUUUUUUUUUUUGAGAAGAGUGGCAGGGACUGUCUUGUCUUCUCAGUGUGCCUUCUUGAUUGAACAUUUCAAAGGCAUUUCCUAAAUCCCAAAGCCUCCUAUUCCUUUCUCAAAGAUCUAAAUAUAUUUCCCCUAAAUAAAGUGUUAUAAUGUUUCCACUCUUCACUCAAAUUUAGCAUUUAAAGUUUUUGAAUGGAUUUUUCUGUAUAGCCAUAUGAUUUCUGUGCAUGUCUGUGGUUUGAAUUCUUCAGCUUAUUAUGGCUCAGCAGAAAUCACAGCUGGCAGGUGGUCACAGAGUUGGUACAGGAAAACUAAUGGAGCUGGAAAUCAGUACCUUAUCAGAAUAUCUGGCCUGUUGAUUGCUCUCCAAAGUUAUUUGCUUGUUCUAUAUAAAAAUCAGAGUCUUCAUUAUUACAUAACUUUUUUGAAAAUAUUCGAUUUGUAGUAUUUUAUUGCUUACGAAUGAUGGCCUUUACUCAUGAUGUAAAGACAAGACAAAACAAAAUGCACAUGGCACCUUGACUUAUAAGGUUGGUUAUGAGGGAGAAGCUCUCUUCUGUCACCUCCUCACACCCCAGACAUAGGAUGUUACUUUCUUCUCUGGAUUCUCAGGAUCAUUUUUUAGUGAAACUUGCCAUGUAACCAUCAGUUAAGCCUCACAAUUAAACUUAAAUAUAAACUUCACAAAUUAGAGAAAAUUCUGAGAACAUUGAGCAUUAUGUUUUAUUAUUAUUAUUAUUAUUAUUAUUAUUUCUGAUAAGGCCACUUGGUAUCAUCUUAUGGGUGAUUUUCAAGGACAACAAGCAAGAAAAUGCUUAGGGUAUAGUGCCUAAUGCUAUAAUAAUAGUCUUUGUGUCUUAAUGAAAAAAAUCUGGUCUUUUUAGCCAGUUCAGGCAAAAUAUAACAAUUUCUCAAUAUUUUCCCACACGAAACAGACCAAAUAGUCUAUAUGAUAGUCUAUACCUCGUUGAAUAUGUUUUAUUCAAUUAUCUGAAGUGAAUAUGCAUUUAAUUUUUUUCAGACAGAAACAUAAUCUAGUAAAAUAUUAUGUCUUAAAUAUUUUACUCACAAACAUCUCAAUCAUUUUGUUAAUCAUUAAUAAGAAUUUCAUUAUAGUUAUGUUUAAUAUCUUAAUAAUAACUUAAAUCAUAAAUACCCAUUUAUAUACUGCUGAGAUUUCCAGAAAUUCACACAUAAACUCAUCAGGGAAAUGAAUGAGUGAAUGCUGGUUGAGGAGCACAUUUUCUAAAAAAUUAUAGUGAGCAAUCUGGCUUCUGCCUGCUGUAUAUUUUUUGUACAUUAAAUCUCUAAAAAUCCUGGUUUUGCAAUGGGACUCAAAAUUUGAUGGGGAGAGUACUUGUUUGGUGCUGUAAUUGGGAGCAAUUUGCGAAGAAAUUUCUUAAAAGUAUAGCGAUAAUCCACAUUUUGGUCAAUAACAAUAGACACACAAAUUUCACUUCUUGUUACUUUCUUUUGAAAAUACAAAUCCUUGCCACCCUGUGGUAGUAAAUUAAUAGCAGCCGCAGGUGCAUCAUGUUAUGCAGAAACACCAUGCGGAUCUCUGCUGUGGGGAGAAGCUACUGCAGGAAUACCAGGACGAAGCACUCUUGGCUCUCUACGUGAAAUUCUAAGCCUAUAAGUGGUCUUCAUAUGAUGUCGUUUGUCUCUUUUAGUCGUUUCUGCAAUUCUCUUUGGCUACCGUAUUCUCAAGAGAAAAACUUACGUGUGCUUUUCCAGUAACAUAAAUAAAGACUAAAAACAAUAUCCGUAGAAAGGUUUUACACAUUGUAACUUACCAACCACAUAAACAUUUCAGUUUUUAAAUAUUAACUGAUAAUGUAAACAAUGCAUCAAUAAUCAAGAGGUUUUCAGUGUAAAAUGCCUCUGAGAAAAAAAGCCUAACAUAAUAAUACACAUAAGUUCGUACUAAGAACUUGUCUUUAUGGGUGGCUUACGCCUGUUUGUUUUCUAAGAGUUUAAUGGCAGAAAAAAAUGUAAUGAGUUACAGAGGGUGUAAUAAAUAGACAGUUUGCCUUUUUAGGUCAGGAAGAAAAUUAGCCAUAAUUUUGCUUCGAAGCAAAAGUGGUAAAAUGUUUCGCUAUUUUAAAAGGUUAGUACUUCCUCUUUUAUACUCUUCAUGAUAGGAAAUUAAAGACACACCAAAAAUGAUAUCAAAUAUCAACUAAUACAUUAAAACUUUCUUAACCUUAAAGACUCAUUCUUUGCAUUAGGGUGGCUUUAUAUUUGUAGGGGGUUGUAAAAAUAAUAAAAUGUUAUUUAAAGUUUAAAUGGCAUAACUCUCUCUCCUGACUUACCAGACUCAUUGUUUGUAUAUGUAUGGAUAUGUGCUAUUUUUAAAUUCCUGGAAACGAACCACUAUGCAUCAGGCCUACGAUAUGGGAAAGGAUGGCCUGCCAGUUGAUUUUCUCUCUGGAAUGGAAUCUUUCUCUUCAUCAGGACAGAUCAAAACAGAAAGUCCUCUUCUCUACAAUAGGGAAGAUUAAAAAUAAAGUACUCUUUGGGUGCACGAGAACAAAAUCUAGGGAGAAAUAACAAGGAUAAGAACAGGAAGAUUGGAGUUCCCGUAGUGGCUCAGUGGAAACGAAUCGGACUAAUACCCAGGAGGAUGCGGGUUCCAUUCCUGGUCUCAGUGUGUUAAGGAUCCAGCAUUGCCGUGAGCGGUGGUGUAGGUUGCAGAUGCAGCUGGGAUCCCACUUUGCAGUGGCUGCGGUGUAGGCCAGAGGCUACGGCUCAGAUUAGAUCCCUAGCCUGGGAACCUCCACAUGCCAUGGGUACAGCCCUAAAAGAGACACACACACACACAUGCACAAAGAACAGUAUUUCAUUUCCAAAUAUUUGCAAAUUAAUGUUAUUUAAAUAACAAUUGGCUGGCUUUUCCCUAACAUUCAUUGAAAUAUUUAUUAUUAUGCAAUCUUAGUCUUAGUUUCAGAGAUAUGUGAGGUGGUUAGCAUUGCACCUGAAUCUUCUGAUUUGUCUUUCUUUAUCAAAAUUAUAAAUGUUAAAGUGAGACAUGUUUAAGUGUUUUAAGUUGAGAAAACUGAUUUCUUCAUUUUUAUGAGCAAUUAACUCUCUGUUAUUGGAGGAAGAUUUUAAUCUAAUAUUGCCAAAACACACCCACAACAACCACAAAACAAA
This 3166-nucleotide long non-coding RNA is filed under the name Sus scrofa (pig). RNAcentral's name for it is "lncRNA (ENSSSCG00000056282.1)". The record is from RNAcentral. Lineage: Eukaryota; Metazoa; Chordata; Mammalia; Artiodactyla; Suidae.